GGGACAUUUUGAGUUCCGACAUAAAUCCAUCUUUUUUAGUGUCAUUUUUUCAGCAAUCCGUGUAUGCAACCCAUGUUACGCUAUUUAUGCAAAAGUGGAUAAUGUGAUUUUUUUUUUUAUAUGCCAAUAAGGAUUUGGGAACAUUGAGGUGAAGUUCUUGAUGUUUUUCACAACUAGACUACACAACAUUUCACAACAUUUGGUUAAUUGGAGUACUCCUUUACAAUCAGAUGUAUAACAAAGUGUUCAGGAGAUGCUGCUCCUUGCUUGCAAACACUCAAGUUUUCAUAUUUGUCAGUCCUUGAUGAACUACAACUGCAUUUUUGGUACAAAAAACAUUUGUACUACUACCUCAAACAAUGUGUUUUCUUAACUUCAUGGCUACAGCUUUCCUCUCAGUGCAGCUCCUGCUUCAAGCUAGGAAACCAAAGAACACUCCUUAUGAACCAGUUGAAGGAGCAUUGCCAUCUUGCUGAAGUUCAGCACUGCAGCACCUACUUCAUGUCUAACAUUUUUGGGAAUUACAAAUUGCCUGACACUCCCCAAGAGCAUUGAUACAGCACAGACUAGAGGGAAAAGGAUGCUUUUCAUAAUGUGGAUAUGAACACUUCUGAAUACUCUGACAGAAAGCCUGUCUCUGUAUGAAAGAGAGGAAUCCUUUUCACUAGCACGUUUAAGUAUAGACUUAAACCCAGCAGUCAGAUCUCUGCCCUGCCACACUUCGAAUUUUAAAGACUAUGUAGGAUAUGCUAGCAUGAUAUUACUACAGCUUUUUUGAAGAAGAUUUUCUUCCUGUGGUCCAUUUUAUCUUUGCCAGUUAUAAGUUGUUUCAAACUGGAGUUGACUGACUGCAGCUCCUGAGGCACACCAGCUGCCAUGCUGCAGUGCAGCAUCGACCUCUGUGUUCUGGAUGACUCCAACAGAACUGUUCAAGUAAUUUGACAUUAAAAUAAUGUUCAGUGACUCUGUCAUUUUCAACCAAUUUCCUGAAUAAUUUCAAAUCUAUUAAUAUACAGGAAACUGCUGCUUGACAAAGGUUGGAUUCUGUGAAUGCAGGAGUACCAGUUAAUUUUUAACUUCCCUUAUUAUCUGAAAUGAAACCUGAUAUGACAGACUCAUUUUCAGUACCAGAUAGUGAGGAAGAUGGAAGCAGUGGACACAACUGACAUCCUUGUCUGAAAAAUUGCAGUAAUCUUUUAUUUUCCUUGUAGUCCUAUUUUUUACAUGAAACAAAGAAAGCUAAGCUAAAAAUAUAAUGCUACUGCACCAGCCUUCGGAGACUUUUCUCCAAAAACUCACAGAAAUUCAGGAGAAGAAAUCUGAUUUUGAACAGGAAUUUUGCCUUUACAGUUGUAGUUUAUUAACCGAGCCUGUUGAUUACAGUUACAAAAAGCCCAGCAAUAUUUUCUUUCUUUAUCAGGUUUCUUGGCUGGAAUUAAAACAAAAGAGCUUAUUGAUCUGUAAUAGGCGCAAUCUAGAUCUUGUUACUGCUUCUUUUAAUGUUGUCUCCAUUUUUGUUUUCAUGGUUUUACCUAAUGACAAUAUUAAAUAACAAAAAAAAAGCCAACGUAUAGCCUGACACUUUAAGGCUCUGAACUCCCUUAAAAAUUGUGGCAAAUAAGUUUUUAAUUUACCUGUUACAGUUUGGACAGCUAACAAUUCUGGCUGUGAAGUUUACACCUGAUUAUAUUUUUCAUGGUCUCUUAGAAUGCAUGCACUAAAGGAUGUUGGUGCCAAGCUACUUAAAGCUCGGUGAAAAGAUCAUUGCUCUGCUGAAGUGACUGACUGCAUAUUAUGAGGCAGUAAGAACUGAAUCAUUAAAGAGUUUAUUUUCAGCAGACAGAAAAAGGAAUGAUGUUGUCAGAUUGAAAGAUAUGACAUAUUGUUUUACUUUGAUGAAUAUUGAAGAUUGUCUCUCAAAGAAAAAUUGACGACCGCAGAUCUUCACAUGUCAAAAAAAUAGAUAAGCCCAAGGGGAAAAAGGAAAGGGAACCACAAGCUAAAAAUUGAGCUGUUGAAAUGUGAUGAUUAUUGUAGUCAUUAUACUACUGUCAAUUAGAUUAGCAAGUAGCUCUGGAAAUGUUAUUGGAUGACAAAGUAAUGGAAAACUUAUUUUGACUGCAACCAAUUGGCUUACAGCAAAUUAUCUAAUGAGUAACUUGAGUUUUCAACUCCAAGGUGGAUUCUCAAACUCAAUCUUCUGGAUAAAUACCUAAAAUAAAUCAGAUCAUUAUCUUCUUACAAACAAUAUCUCUGGAACACAGAAAACAAACAACUCUCAUUGAAAUUUCCCCAAAUACUUCUGAAGAAAUGGAAAAUAUGCAUAUCUCUAUUUCUUUGAAAUAGGCAGACUCUGAAUACUCCUUUCUGUCAAUCCAGCCUUCAUAAAGGAACUCACAGAAAGGCAACAGGCCUCUCUGGACAGGAGGCCAGCUUUAGCAUUUGAUGUAGGGAAAAGAGCAACUGUAGAAAAGGGCAACUUCAGGACAAAGAGACUCAGGUCUGAGUCCCCAGCUCAAUGAACACAAGCCUGGAACCACAUGAAAAGCAUAUGACCAUGUGCAAGGAAGUGACGAAUUUUCAUGGCCUAUCUCUUUCUUUACUCUCCAUACAUGCUGGGUGGAGCUUGGUUUCUGGAAGGAGCUAGACAUUGUGUUUCUAUUCUGUCUUAACUGCCUGAUCCUUUAUUUUUAAUCUAGUGAAAAAAAGAUAAUUUCCAUUUAAUACUGCUAAACAAAAUAUGGUAGUUUGUCAGUAUACGUAGUUAAUGUUAGGUAUGCAAGAAUUGGGAAAAUAUGCCAAAGAUAUAGAAAAGCUGUUAAAGUAUAACUUAAUUCCUCAUCUCUAGUCAGAAUUGAGACAAUCUACAUAAAAUUUAUGCCACGACUUCAAAAAAGAUAGUGUUUUGGGGUAGAUUCUUAAUCUAGUCACAACAUGACAGAUGUGAAGGUCCAUUAGCACCAUUAUUUAUUUAGAAUUAAUUUAUGUAAACAAGUCUGAAAUUUAAACAUGUGUAUCCAUACACAGGCUCUUCAUAUGAGCACCAAAACUAUUUUUCAAGUAAUACAAGUUAAAUUGACACAUCUUUUAAUACAAGAAAAACUUACUUUGCAGUUUGAGGCAUUGAAUGGCUGAAUUUCUAUGCAUUUGUCUCACACAGAGUAGGAAAGGAAAGCAGUAAUAAUAGCCAUGAGUCAAAGCUGUGGUAGCAGGCUUCAAACUGUAACAUUGGUAUAUGUUCACUAAAAAUAUGGCUGUAAUAACUGCAAGAUCGUUCUGUCCAGUAUUUAUUACAGUGAUGAUGUACUGAUGACACAGUAUGGUUUCAUAAAACCCAGACUCUUUAAUCCA
Taeniopygia guttata (zebra finch) is the source of this 3351-nucleotide non-coding RNA. NCBI's taxonomy places the organism in Eukaryota, Metazoa, Chordata, Aves, Passeriformes, Estrildidae. The record is from RefSeq and is a predicted model, not a curated record.